RNAcentral lists this long non-coding RNA (3480 nucleotides) under Phaseolus vulgaris (common bean). RNAcentral describes it as "long non-coding RNA (PVUL_LNC003274)". Lineage: Eukaryota; Viridiplantae; Streptophyta; Magnoliopsida; Fabales; Fabaceae. The record is from RNAcentral.
AUAAUAAUAGUAGUAAUAAUGGUAAUCAUAAUGCCCACUUUGGUAGGGAUCUUGAUGGAAUUGAUAAGAUAAGAUACACGAAUGUGUGCCACUGCCACUACGGCUCAAUCAUUAUAAUCAACAAAGGAGGAAGCAGUGAAAAACUUUCCUUUGGGUGAACACCUUUCAAGGAACUCUCAACAAAGGUCAGUGUCAUCAUCUGUUUUUUUAUUGUCAAAAGUUGUUCAUUCCAAAUCUUGCUUUAGGCUUGUUAAUUUCCUCAUCAAAUGGUAGGUUUAGGUGUUUUAACCAUCAUGGUUGUGAUGGUAAAGCAACAAUAAAGAGUUUUCUCACUUUGAUGCACACUUCUAUCAAUCAUAUGGAUAAAGGAGUGGUUUUCCACUUGUAUUCUGGGAUCAUGUAAGGUAAGAUGUUGUGGUUUUUCAUUUGGCAGGUUUUUGGCUUUGUUUGUCAAUGGCUGUUUCAGCACAAUCCAUCAAGACAGUGAAUUGGAGAAUGAUAUUCAUGCACUGGUUUUGGUGCUGGCUUAUCUCUGGUCCAAAGUUAAAGACCAGUUUCUUGAUCUAAUCAAGAGAUUGGCUUCUUUUGACAUAUGUUAUUUCACAAACAUAGAUCUGAGGGUUUAAUUCUUCACCAAAUGCUUAAAUCAAACGGUUUUGAUUAUAUUGGUUGACUGGUAAUUAGGUGUAUAGAUUUUGUGGUUUGAAAACUUGAAUCUGCUGAAUAGACAGUGUCAGAAGUUUUCCAACACUCCAAAGUCUGCUAGAUUCUGUUGUGUUGUGUCUCUUCAGUCUUGGUAUUGUUGUUGAGGUUAGGUUUUUGUUUUGUUGAAUAUUGAAUACCUACUCAAGGUUGUAAUAGGUACGUCAACAUGACUUCAUAUUUGUUUCUUUUUCAUUUUAUUUGGCAAAUUAGCCCUCCAAGACUUAAAUUUCUACAUGCAUCCUUUCAAAUUCACAUGUCCACUUUAUCGAAUUUGAGGAACAAAGUAAUCAUUAACAGCUUACCCUAAAGUCCAAUUUCAAUUUGUAAAUAAAGUCAGCAUUCAGCAAAGUUUUAUUCUCCAUGUUCACAUUACUUUAUUCUAUGAACAUUUCAAAAUCUCUCCAACCAAACACGAUCAACCUGGUACAUGGUUUGUUUGACUGUCCAUGAUACUUUCUGGUGCAUCUGAAAGAACACUGCAAUGAACAUUGACCAGAGUCAAGUCAGAAACCAUCAGCUUCCUAUGAAGCACUAUUGGUCUGACUACAUAGCCUUUUUUUUUACUUUUGAAUUUGGUGACAACUAUUUGUUGCUUUGGCUUUAAACUUUAAAUUGGAAUCGGUUCUGGAAAGUUUGAAUACAAUCCAAACACAUGGAGGAAGACAAGCAUGAAUAUUUUCAUGUGGUGUUAAUUCUCAAAUUUCAUUGUAGAAUUGAAAAACAAAGGACAGUGUGGUGUCUGUAAAAGGUUGAAUUGCAGGUAUCAUAUAGAAGGACAGUAACCGACAUGUUUUUUUUUGCAGGCACCCUCAGAAUCACGCAAAAGAGCUGCAAGGAUCUUUUUCAUUGUUGAGGUGAAAGAAAUUUACCUCACAACACAAUGUACUGAUACUCAUAUGAAAAGGGUGAAGCACUGAUUCCAAGUGAAAAUAAAGGGAAGUACCAGUUAAUGGUUGGUGCAUAAUUGGAGUGAAAAUGUGACUAAAAAUAUGAGAUUGAAAAAAGACAGACACAGUGAGCAGUAUAUAAUUAACUAAGACUCAUACUUCAAAUGUGUUUGGUUAUGCAGCUAAAUGCUCUUACACAUACAAAUAGGCACACAUUUUAAUGCUUUAACCACUAAAUUGUGAAAUUGUUUCUAAUCUUGUUUUCUGGUUUUCAAUUUUUUUUAUAGGAAACAGAUAAAAACUUAAUGUCUUAUGGUUUUAAGAAAUGAUAUUUUGACACUUUUCAUUUUAUGCACACCUACUUCACAAUGUUAUUAUAACAGUAGCUAAAUAUCAGUAGCAAAAUUUCUUGUAGUAGUGUAUGGAUGUGUAAGAAAAAAGCUUUUAAACUUCAUUAUAUAAGAGGGUUGUUAAUUGAUUCAAUAUGGAAAAGAUUUUCACAACAUCAUUUUCAUAUGGUUUGUGUCAAGGUUUGAGUGCAUUAUUUGUACUCAAGUGAGAUGAGAAGACCAGCGAGUCAGUGACAAUGGAACUCAUGCUUGUUUUUCAACACUUUCUUUUUCCUUGUUCUCAAUCACAUCAUCAAUCUUAUCUUUUUCUUCUCUUUUGUCUCUUUCUAUUACAUAUCUGUAGAAGAAAUUUGGAUCAUUUGGUUGUUACUGAUGGUGAUAAUUUUGCAACUUCUACAUGUUGAUGUGGUAAAAAUUUUAGUUAAUCCAAAAGUCUAUGCAAGAACAGGUUUUGUCAUCGGAUGAUGCAACUGCAGUUGUACACUUGUACUGUAUUUUCAGAGCUGGCAAGUUCAGAACUUUUGGAUGUAUCUUUGAACACAUGUACCCUAACAGUAUGGAACUGUGGUACCUAACAGCUUAUGGGAAAUAUCUUCCUAAAAUGUGUUUCUGUAUCUGAUUUAACACCUUCAUUGCUUCUCCAUGUGCCAUUGAUAAAUGAAGUAAACCUGUGGAACAUGAAUAGAACCUUUUAGUGGAAAAAAAAAUAGAUGCUCUGCAGAAACAUUGCCAAAUAGCUAAAAAUUCUCAAAAUUUGAUUAUAUUUAUACUGAGAAUAUGAUUCAUCUGAAUGUCUUAUAGUUAGGAAGGUAACAAAGGGUAUUUUUAUUAGGUAGUGAUAACAUGUAGUGCUAUAAGAUAUUCUAAGAACAAGUGUUUCACUGAAAUACUUAUAAAUGAGGACAUUACUGAGAAAAGUUCAUUAAUGUUUUCUUAAUCAUUGAAUAGUGUUAAUUUAGGUGGCUCAUUUGAGUUAAGUAAUUGUUUUUGCAUUUCCAUGAUCCUAGUUUAGUGAGACUUGGACACGUCUCUUAAAUGGUUUGUUUGUAUCAGACACCGACACUCGUAUGACACCUUAUCGACACCGAUACUCGUAUCACAUGAUAAAUAAUACAUGAUAAAAAAUGUAAUGCUACUUUGGAAUUCAGAAACAGUGAAGGGAACAGAACCUAGCUAGUACCUAGUGGUGGUGGUAGGUAAGAUUAUUACCAUGGUUUUGAAGGCUGAGUAUAUGAAAUCAUGUUACCGACCAGCAAGACCAGGAAACAGUGGUGUUGGCAGCAAAGGUCACUUUCAAUUAGUGUUAAAUCCCAAGGUUGAUAUGCAGAAAAAGACUUCUCAAGGAUGGAUAACUAGCCAAAUCUGGCUCAAACAGCGUCUCAUCAGGUUUCAAUGUCAUCCUCCUAUUUUCAUAUACUCAAAAAAAGUAAUUUUAGAAAGAAAAAAUAAAGUGUAUAAAUUGAGUUGGAGAAACAAUUUUGUAUAUUUUUUAUGAAUGAUUUUCAAUUCAUAUAUAAAUUAGGUUUAUUUUAUGAAAA